Diatrype stigma is the source of this 108-nucleotide non-coding RNA. The record is from the annotation of a GenBank genome assembly. NCBI's taxonomy places the organism in Eukaryota, Fungi, Ascomycota, Sordariomycetes, Xylariales, Diatrypaceae.
GGCCUGGUAGUCUAGUGGUCAGGACGUGGGAUUCUGAAAACAUAGCAAGGAAACUUGAUAGUUCACGAGAAUCUUCCCGAAACCCCGGUUCGAUCCCGGGCCGGGCCU